GCAAAAUUUCUUGUUUCUUUUUCCAAACCGAAAUUGUCACAACUCGAGCGAAUGGAAAUCGCAUCGAGUGAAAAAAACGGCUGCAUUAAAUGCAAGGUUUGCAAAAAUGAGUUUACAAACGAAGCGCAGUUCCUCGAACAUCUGAAGGAGAAUCCGAAGUGCGAAAAGUUGACUUGUGUCGUGUGUCGGAAACAGUUCAGUCAGAUCUCUCAUUUAAAUAUACACAAGUUAGAAAUACAUUCAAACGAAAAGAAAUUUAAAUGCGAAGAAUGUGAUUAUUGUACCGCACUUGGAUCAAACUUUAGAAGACACUAAAAUAAACACUCAAGAAAAAAAGUUUAUAAAUGUAGCUAUUGUAAUCGUUCAACUAUAUGGAAACAGAGUUUAGACUGUCAUAUUUUGCUAAAACAUUCGAAAAAAUCAAAUUUCACUGAAAAACUUUCGCCGAGAUAUCUGGAUUUGGAAAAAUAUCGAUGCAAAGUUUGCCUGAAAUUUUGUCAUACUCCAUACGCUUUAAAACGUCACGAGAUAAGUCAUACGGGAAAAAAACCGUUUCACUGUGAUUAUUGUUUUCGAAGAUUUACACGACAAGAGAACUUAAAUAAACACAAGCGAAUAAUUCAUUCGACAGUAGAAAAACAAUCUUCGUCUCAGCAAAUUACAGAAGGUACGUCAAAAUCUUUUGAAAUAUCGGAACAGAGUGAGAUGCACUCUUCUUCUGAAAUCUCAGCAGCGAGUUCAAUGCGAGAGGAAUAUCUUAAAACAUACGAGAAAGAUAAAACUUUGCAAUUUUCUGAAAAAUUACGGCAAUCUAAUCAAUGUCGCUUUACUACAAAUUCUGAAAAAGAAUGAUUCGUACAUAAACAGACACACGUUGACGAAUCUCCUUGCACGUCAAAGGAACAGGAAGAAACAGAUCCAGAAGUGGUCAGAGCAUCGGAAAUCCUCAUGGACAUGAGAAAGAAAAGAUUGGAGACAAUAAAAGAUAAAAAGAUAAGUCCUGAUUCCCAUACACCGC
RNAcentral lists this long non-coding RNA (1018 nucleotides) under Centruroides sculpturatus (bark scorpion). Its description in RNAcentral is "uncharacterized LOC111640268". The record is from RNAcentral. Lineage: Eukaryota; Metazoa; Arthropoda; Arachnida; Scorpiones; Buthidae.